This is a long non-coding RNA of Serinus canaria (Common canary), 2293 nucleotides long. RefSeq lists it as uncharacterized. The record is from RefSeq and is a predicted model, not a curated record. The transcript has 4 exons. NCBI's taxonomy places the organism in Eukaryota, Metazoa, Chordata, Aves, Passeriformes, Fringillidae.
GAGCUGCCCCUGUGAGUGACCCCUCCUGAGCUGUCCCUGUGAGUGACCCCUCUGGAGCUGUCCCUGUGAGUGACCCCUCCAGACCUGUCCCUGUGAGUGACCCCUCUGGAGCUGUCCCUGUGAGUGACCCCUCCUGAGCUGUCCCUGUGAGUGACCCCUCCGGAACUGCCCCUGUGAGUGACCCCUCCUGAGCUGUCCCUGUGAGUGACCCCUCCGGAGCUGCCCCUGUGAGUGACCCCUCCUGAGCUGUCCCUGUGAGUGACCCCUCUGGAGCUGUCCCUGUGAGUGACCCCUCCGGAGCUGUCCCUGUGAGUGACCCCUCCGGAGCUGUCCCUGUGAGUGACCCCUCUGGAGCUGUCCCUGUGAGUGACCCCUCCGGAGCUGUCCCUGUGAGUGACCCCUCCGGAGCUCCCAGGUGAGUGACAACUCCAGAGCUCCAAGGUGCGACCCACCCUGGAGCUCCCAGGGUGAGUGACCCCAAAGUGAGUGACCCCUCUGGAGCUCCCAGGAGAGUGACAACUCCGGAGCUCCAAAGUGAGUGACCCCAAGGUGAGUGACCCCUCUGGAGCUCCAAGGUGAGUGACAACUCCGGAGCUCCAAGGUGAGUGACCCCUCCAGAGCUCCCAGGUGAGUGACCAGCUCCAGAGCUCCCAGGUGAGUGACCCCAAGGUGAGUGACCCCUCCGGAGCUGUCCCUGUGUGCACACCCUGCCCCAAAUCCUCUCCCUCCCAGCCACCAGCAGGGUCCCCCGUUCAUCUCUCGGCUUUGAAGCUGCUGUGCUGUUUCCUUCCCCCCGUUUGGAUGUCAGGAAUUGGAGCAGCCUUGAGUGGGAAUUGGCAGAGGGGGUCGGAGCUGGACGGGCCAGCUCAGCUGUGUCACGGCCAUUCCGUUUCUUCUCCCUUUGGCUGCAAAUCCCCAACCCCGGCCAGGCCAAACGCGGGGCAGUAAAAACGCAGGGCAGGCUCUGGGAGGCGGCUCCGCUCUCUCUGCCCCGGGUGCGAGCGAGCACAGAGGGAAGGGAUCUUCCCCUCAAGUUUUGUCCCGGCCCGCUGCUGCCCGCUGCCUCUGCAAGGAGAGAAACCCACCUCCUUCUGGAGAGGCUGGUCUGGACUAAAAGAGUCUGGACUAAAAAAGUCCGGAAUAAAAAAGUCGUAGCAGCAUUUAGGGGCUGAUGGAUGCUGCAGGUUUUUAGCUCCUUAAAAAGAGUGGGAAGAGGAGGAAGAACUGGAUUUUCUGAUCCCGCAGACAAACCCACCUCGUUCUCCAGAGGUUGAUCCGGGACUAAAAAACUCCAGGAAUAAAAAGGUCGUGGCAGCAUUUAUGGGCUGAUGGAUGCUGCUGAUUUUUAGCUCCUUAAAAAGAGUGGGGAGAGGGGGAAGAGGAGGAGGAAGAACUGGAUUUUCUGACCCUGCUGACAAACCCACCUCGUUCUUGAGACGUUGGCUCUGGACUAAAAAAGUCCGGGAAUAAAAAAGUUGUGCCAGUAUUUAGGGGUUGAUGGAUGCUGCAGGUUUUUAGCUCCUUAAAAAGAGAGGAGGAGGAGGAGGAGGAGGAGGAGGAGGAAGAAGAAGAAUUGGCUCUUCUGAUGCCGCUUCCCAGCACUUGGCUCCCCUGGCAAGAGCUGCCGGAGACCGGAAGGCAAACCCAGCGUGUGGAUUCCUCCUCCCCCUCUCCCCUCAUUUGUCCUCCUUACAUAAAUCCUGACUGUGGGAAAAUGGGAUUGCAGCCCGCAGGGAAGGCUGAGCAGGGGCGGCUCCGCCAGUCCUGAGCUCCUCUCUCCUCUGCCCUGCCUUGCUGGGGGGGCCAGGGCCGCAAUUCCAGCGGCUGUCCCAGGAUUUGGGGAUCUGGAGGGAUUGCUGAGCUCCCUGUGUGAUGUUUGGUGGGAACACCUCACAGGAUUUGGGGAUCUGGAGGGAUUGCUGAGCUCCCAUGAGAGGUUUGGUGGGAACACCUCACAGGAUUUGGGGAUCUGGAGGGAUUGCUGAGCUCCCAUGAGAGGUUUGCUGGGAACACCUCACAGGAUUUGGGGAUCUGGAGGGAUUGCUGAGCUCCCAUGUGAGGUUUGCUGGGAACACCUCACAGGAUUUGGGGAUCUGGAGGGAUUGCUGAGCUCCCAUGAGAGGUUUGCUGGGAACACCUCACAGGAUUUGGGGAUCUGGAGGGAUUGCUGAGCUCCCUGUGUGGGGUUUGGUGGGAACACCUCACAUGGAUUUGGGGAUCUGGAGGGAUUGCUGAGCUCCCUGUGUGAGGUUUGCUGGGAACACCUCACAGGAUUUGGGGAUCUGGAGGGAUU